UACGGAGGGUGCAAGCGUUAUCCGGAUUUACUGGGUUUAAAGGGUGCGUAGGCGGACUUGUAAGUCAGUGGUGAAAUCCCGGGGCUCAACCCCGGAACUGCCAUUGAUACUAUAGGUCUUGAAUAUUGUUGAGGUGGGCGGAACGGGUCAUGUAGCGGUGAAAUGCAUAGAUAUGACCCGGAACACCGAUUGCGAAGGCAGCCCGCUAAGCAAUGAUUGACGCUGGAGGCACGAAAGCCGUGGGGAUCAAACAGG
RNAcentral lists this ribosomal RNA (255 nucleotides) under uncultured bacterium. RNAcentral describes it as "partial 16S ribosomal RNA". It matches the Rfam family "Bacterial small subunit ribosomal RNA", at positions 524 to 776 of the family's 1533-position model. The record is from RNAcentral.